This 385-nucleotide ribosomal RNA is filed under the name uncultured bacterium. RNAcentral's name for it is "bacterial SSU rRNA". It matches the Rfam family "Bacterial small subunit ribosomal RNA", at positions 370 to 772 of the family's 1533-position model. The record is from RNAcentral.
AAUGGGGGCAACCCUGAUCCAGCCAUGCCGCGUGUGUGAAGAAGGCCUUAGGGUUGUAAAGCACUUUCAGCUGUGAAGAUAAUGACAGUAGCAGAAGAAGAAGCUCCGGCUAAAUUCGUGCCAGCAGCCGCGGUAAUACGAAUGGAGCGAGCGUUGUUCGGAAUCACUGGGCGUAAAGGGUGCGCAGGCGGUCAUGAAAGUUAGAAGUGAAAUCCCAGGGCUUAACCCUGGAAUGGCUUUUAAAACUCCAUGACUAGAGUAUUGGAGAGGUUGGCGGAAUUCCGAGUGUAGAGGUGAAAUUCGCAGAUAUUCGGAGGAACACCAAUGGCGUAGGCAGCCAACUGGACAAUUACUGACGCUCAUGCACGAAAGCGUGGGGAUCAAA